This 211-nucleotide unclassified non-coding RNA is filed under the name plant metagenome. RNAcentral's name for it is "partial contains small subunit ribosomal RNA, internal transcribed spacer 1, and 5.8S ribosomal RNA". The record is from RNAcentral.
UUUCCGUAGGUGAACCUGCGGAAGGGUCAUUCAUAAUAAAGUGUUUUAUGGCACUUUUUAAAAAUCCAUAUCCACCUUGUGUGCAAUGUUAGAUCUCGUCAAUCUUGGCGAGAUUUUUAUACAUCAACUCAUUUUUUAACUAAUUUGUCUGAAAAAUAUUAUGAAUACUUAAUUCAAAAAACAACUUUCAACAACGGAUCUCUUGGCUCUC